GACGAACGCUGGCGGCGUGCUUAACACAUGCAAGUCGAACGGAAAGGCCCUGCUUUUGUGGGGUGCUCGAGUGGCGAACGGGUGAGUAACGCGUGAGUAACCUGCCCUUGACUUUGGGAUAACUUCAGGAAACUGGGGCUAAUACCGGAUAGGAGCUCCUGCUGCAUGGUGUGGGUUGGAAAGUUUCGGCGGUUGGGGAUGGACUCGCGGCUUAUCAGCUUGUUGGUGGGGUAGUUGCUUACCAAGGCUUUGACGGGUCGCCGGCCUGAGAGGGUGACCGGCCACAUUGGGACUGAGAUACGGGCAAGACUGCUACGGGAGGCAGCGGUGGGGAACAUUGCACAAUGGGCGGAAGCCUGAUGCAGGAACGCCGCGUGCGGGAUGACGGCCUUAGGGUUGUAAACCGCUUUCGCCUGUGACGAAGCGUGAGUGACGGUAAUGGGUAAAGAAGCACCGGCUAACUACGUG
This 468-nucleotide ribosomal RNA is filed under the name uncultured bacterium. Its description in RNAcentral is "partial 16S ribosomal RNA". It matches the Rfam family "Bacterial small subunit ribosomal RNA", at positions 28 to 507 of the family's 1533-position model. The record is from RNAcentral.